Molecule: ribosomal RNA, 892 nt
Filed under: uncultured bacterium
Lineage: Bacteria
Description: bacterial SSU rRNA
Rfam family: Bacterial small subunit ribosomal RNA
Source: RNAcentral
GUUUCAGCCGCCGCGGUAAUGCGUAGGGUGCAAGCGUUAAUCGGAAUUACUGGGCGUAAAGCGUGCGCAGGCGGUUAUGCAAGACAGAGGUGAAAUCCCCGGGCUCAACCUGGGAACUGCCUUUGUGACUGCAUGGCUAGAGUACGGUAGAGGGGGAUGGAAUUCCGCGUGUAGCAGUGAAAUGCGUAGAUAUGCGGAGGAACACCGAUGGCGAAGGCAGUCCCCUGGACCUGUACUGACGCUCAUGCACGAAAGCGUGGGAAGCAAACAGGAUUAGAUACCCUGGUAGUCCACGCCCUAAACGAUGUCAACUGGUUGUUGGGAGGGUUUCUUCUCAGUAACGUAGCUAACGCGUGAAGUUGACCGCCUGGGGAGUACGGCCGCAAGGUUGAAACUCAAAGGAAUUGACGGGGACCCGCACAAGCGGUGGAUGAUGUGGUUUAAUUCGAUGCAACGCGAAAAACCUUACCUACCCUUGACAUGCCAGGAAUCCUGAAGAGAUUUGGGAGUGCUCGAAAGAGAGCCUGGACACAGGUGCUGCAUGGCCGUCGUCAGCUCGUGUCGUGAGAUGUUGGGUUAAGUCCCGCAACGAGCGCAACCCUUGUCAUUAGUUGCUACGAAAGGGCACUCUAAUGAGACUGCCGGUGACAAACCGGAGGAAGGUGGGGAUGACGUCAGGUCAUCAUGGCCCUUAUGGGUAGGGCUACACACGUCAUACAAUGGCCGGGACAGAGGGCUGCCAACCCGCGAGGGGGAGCUAAUCCCAGAAACCCGGUCGUAGUCCGGAUCGUAGUCUGCAACUCGACUGCGUGAAGUCGGAAUCGCUAGUAAUCGCGGAUCAGCUUGCCGCGGUGAAUACGUUCCCGGGUCUUGUACACACCGCCCGUCAAAC